Molecule: non-coding RNA, 102 nt
Filed under: Planctomycetota bacterium
Lineage: Bacteria; Pseudomonadati; Planctomycetota
Description: Planctomycetes bacterium SAH sequence
Rfam family: SAH (S-adenosyl-L-homocysteine) riboswitch aptamer
Source: RNAcentral
CAUUGCGAGGAGCGCAGCGACGAAGCAAUCUCAAUCCUCAGCACGGGAGAUUGCUUCGCUACGCUCGCAAUGACAUACAUCGCUCAACGAAUCUCACUUCUU